AUUUAAGUAGUUUAAAGUGUAAAUAAAAUAUUAAUUUGUGGGAUUAAAGAUAUAAAAAAAAUUUAUCUUAAAUU
Molecule: transfer RNA, 74 nt
Filed under: Colobopsis nipponica
Lineage: Eukaryota; Metazoa; Arthropoda; Insecta; Hymenoptera; Formicidae
Description: tRNA-His
Source: RNAcentral